This 74-nucleotide transfer RNA is filed under the name Candidatus Spechtbacteria bacterium RIFCSPLOWO2_02_FULL_38_8. Its description in RNAcentral is "tRNA-Trp". It matches the Rfam family "tRNA". Rfam says of the family: Transfer RNA (tRNA) molecules are approximately 80 nucleotides in length. Their secondary structure includes four short double-helical elements and three loops (D, anti-codon, and T loops). The record is from RNAcentral. Lineage: Bacteria; Candidatus Spechtiibacteriota.
GGGGGCGUCGGUUAGUGGUAAACCACGAGUUUCCAAAACUCGAACUGGGGGUUCGAUUCCCUCCGCCCCUGCCG